Molecule: ribosomal RNA, 253 nt
Filed under: uncultured bacterium
Lineage: Bacteria
Description: partial 16S ribosomal RNA
Rfam family: Bacterial small subunit ribosomal RNA
Source: RNAcentral
UACGAAGGGGGCUAGCGUUGUUCGGAAUCACUGGGCGUAAAGCGCACGUAGGCGGAUGUGUCAGUCAGGGGUGAAAUCCCGGAGCUCAACUUCGGAACUGCCUCUGAUACAGCACGUCUUGAGUUCGAGAGAGGUGGGUGGAAUUCCUAGUGUAGAGGUGAAAUUCGUAGAUAUUAGGAAGAACACCGGUGGGGAAGGCGGCCCACUGGCUCGAUACUGACGCUGAGGUGCGAAAGCGUGGGGAGCAAACAGG